Molecule: ribosomal RNA, 468 nt
Filed under: uncultured bacterium
Lineage: Bacteria
Description: partial 16S ribosomal RNA
Rfam family: Bacterial small subunit ribosomal RNA
Source: RNAcentral
GACGAACGCUGGCGGCGUGCUUAACACAUGCAAGUCGAACGGAAAGGCCCUGCUUUUGUGGGGUGCUCGAGUGGCGAACGGGUGAGUAACACGUGAGUAACCUGACCUUGACUUUGGGAUAACUUCAGGAAACUGGGGCUAAUACCGGAUAGGAGCUCCUGCUGCAUGGUGGGGGUUGGAAAGUUUCGGCGGUUGGGGAUGGACUCGCGGCUUAUCAGCUUGUUGGUGGGGUAGUGGCUUACCAAGGCUUUGACGGGUAGCCGGCCUGAGAGGGUGACCGGCCCCAUUGGGACUGAGAUACGGCCCAGACGCCUACGGGAGGCAGCAGUGGGGAAUAUUGCACAAUGGGCGGAAGCCGGAUGCAGCAACGCCGCGUGCGGGAUGACGGCCUUCGGGUUGUAAACCGCUUUCGCCUGUGACGAAGCGUGAGUGACGGUAAUGGGUAAAGAAGCACCGGCUAACUACGUG